UACUGAUGUGACUAUAAAGAUUUUGUAUUGUGGUAUUUGCCACACUGAUCUCCACCAUGCCAAAGAUGACUGGGGCCUUACUAUGUACCCUGUUGUUCCCGGGCAUGAGAUAACAGGGAUUAUCACCAAAGUUGGGAAUGAUGCAAAGGGUUUCAAAGAAGGAGACAGAGUUGGUGUGGGAUGUUUGGCUGCUACAUGUUUGGAUUGUGAGUAUUGCAACACAGAUCAGGAGAACUACUGUGAAAAGUUGCAGUUUGUGUACAAUGGUAUUUUUUGGGAUGGUAGCAUCACUUAUGGUGGCUACUCACAGAUGUUGGUCGUAGAUUACAGGUUCAUCAAUAUCCUUAUACUAUAUCAUUCCUUUUUUUUCUUUUUCAUCUUUGUUUUUUCUGUGUAUUGGUUUUCAAUUUUACGAAAAAGAUCUUAACGUUUUUUAAGAUUGCGUUGAUUUUUAAGACUAUUUUAAAAGAUUUGUAACAAAUAGAAUUCUAAAGUUUCGAUUUUAAUCAAUUUUAACCUGGAUCUAUUAAUUAUGACUAUAAGCAAGACCAUAAAUAUACCCCCGAAAAAUAAGUGGGCAUAGGAAGUGGGCUAAAAGGUCUUUGCGAAUACUUGCUGACACUUGCUUGCAGCUAUUUUGAUGAAUGAAUGUGAAUAUCUAUUUAUGCUUUGCUAAAGGAUGUUUCUGUUCUAUUAUUAUGUUCACAAAAUAUUGCAUGCGAGUGUUUAGUUGUAUGUGUGGAAUGGUGACUUAAAUUGAGUAUUGGAGUAGGUAUUUGCAUAA
Molecule: long non-coding RNA, 784 nt
Organism: Trifolium pratense (red clover)
Lineage: Eukaryota; Viridiplantae; Streptophyta; Magnoliopsida; Fabales; Fabaceae
Exons: 2
Source: RefSeq, a predicted model, not a curated record